AUCAGAGUCUGCCAGCUCUUCUGUUUGGACAUCUAAUCUUGCUCUUGUCUUCUGCAUUGCUUCAAGAAUCUGCUUCAAAGCUCUGAGAUCCUUUCCGGACUUCCUGAACUCGAGUUCAGUUAUCCUUUUCUCCAUUUCACCAUACACCGAGGAAGAUAGCUUUGGACUCUGAAUUGACAGUUCCACAUCUGUAUUUCUUGCAGAUGACUUGAGGGGAGUUCUGCAGGCCUCCGGUUGCCUCCAGGGAGCAGGUUCUAGUGGAAGCCGUGAAGUUGAUGCUGCUCUCAUGAUUGAAUUGGUAGAUUUCAUUCGUGGGGAGCCGAAAUCCUUUUCAUUAAUCUGUGAGAACCGUGUGACUUGAUUAUUCUUGCUCUUUUCAGCUGUUUUUAUUGAUACUGAAACAGAAUUAUUGGUAGAGAAAGACUUAGGUAUCACUGUAUCGACUUCAUUUGAGGGAAUGGAAUUUGGUAAAGCCUCCAAG
This 481-nucleotide long non-coding RNA is filed under the name Solanum lycopersicum (tomato). Its description in RNAcentral is "long non-coding RNA (SLYC_LNC001224)". The record is from RNAcentral. Lineage: Eukaryota; Viridiplantae; Streptophyta; Magnoliopsida; Solanales; Solanaceae.